CAACCCUCAAGCCCCCGGGCUUGGCGUUGGGGAUCGGCACAAGGCGGAGGGGCACCCCUAGGGAGCCCCCUCGGCCCGCCGUCCCCCAAAUUCAGUGGCGGUCACGUCGCGGCCUCCUAUGCGUAGUAGCAACACCUCGCACUGGAAGUCCCUCGCGUCCACGCCGUAAAACCCCCGACUUUUUAUCA
RNAcentral lists this unclassified non-coding RNA (188 nucleotides) under Thelonectria nodosa. RNAcentral's name for it is "partial internal transcribed spacer 2". RNAcentral also lists the same sequence under 1 other name. The record is from RNAcentral. Lineage: Eukaryota; Fungi; Ascomycota; Sordariomycetes; Hypocreales; Nectriaceae.